UAAUGCUUUUCACAAAUGAUUUUAUCCAAGGUGACUUACAUUACUUUCAAGUUAUACAUUUAAUCUGUUCAUGCAUUCCCUGGGAAUCGAA
Long non-coding RNA from Sinocyclocheilus grahami, 91 nucleotides. RefSeq lists it as uncharacterized. Lineage: Eukaryota; Metazoa; Chordata; Actinopteri; Cypriniformes; Cyprinidae. The transcript is spliced from 3 exons. The record is from RefSeq and is a predicted model, not a curated record.